AGAGAGAGACAUGCGCGCAUAUCAAUAAGCGGAGGAAAAGAAACUAACAAGGAUUCCCUUAGUAAUGGCGAGUGAAGCGGGAAGAGCUCAAAUUUGAAAUCUUCAAGGUUUUACCUUGACGAAUUGUAGUUUAAAGAAGUGUUUUCUGCUGAAGUUUUGGUAAAAGUUCUUUGGAAUAGGACAUCAUAGAGGGUGAGAAUCCCGUAUUUGACCAUUAUUUUCAGCUUUGUGAUACACUUUCAAAGAGUCGGAUUGUUUGGGAAUGCAGUCCAAAAUGGGUGGUAAAUUUCAUCUAAAGCUAAAUAUUGGCGAGAGACCGAUAGCGAACAAGUACCGUGAGGGAAAGAUGAAAAGAACUUUGAAAAGAGAGUUAAACAGUACGUGAAAUUGUCAAAAGGGAAGCGUUUGACACCAGUGUUGUUUUCUCGAAAAUCAAUUAAAAAUGGCUCGAUUUUGUAUUGCUUGAGACCUUAAAAGCUCACUGUACAUUUUUCGUGUCUUUUUUAAUGCACUUUUCGUUUAACAAGUCAACAUCAGUUUCUUUUGUUGUAAAAGGGUCAUUGGAAGGUGGCUUUCUUUUCGGAGAAAGUGUUUAUAGCCUUUGGCCUCUGCAAUCGGAAGAGACUGAGGUCUGCAGCGUAGACUCUUCGGGGUUAGAUACAUUUGUGCUAAGUUAUAGCUUUUUAUAGACAACUUGUUGACUAUAAUUAGUCUUGUAGCUUACUCGCUUAUGCUAUUUUACCUACGCUUAGGAUGUUGAAGUCAUCGUAUCGCGC
This 776-nucleotide ribosomal RNA is filed under the name uncultured Neocallimastigales. RNAcentral's name for it is "partial large subunit ribosomal RNA". It matches the Rfam family "Eukaryotic large subunit ribosomal RNA", at positions 23 to 645 of the family's 3401-position model. Lineage: Eukaryota; Fungi; Neocallimastigomycota; Neocallimastigomycetes; Neocallimastigales. The record is from RNAcentral.